This 326-nucleotide ribosomal RNA is filed under the name uncultured bacterium. RNAcentral's name for it is "bacterial SSU rRNA". It matches the Rfam family "Bacterial small subunit ribosomal RNA", at positions 28 to 334 of the family's 1533-position model. The record is from RNAcentral.
GAUGAACGCUGGCGGCGUGCUUAACACAUGCAAGUCGAACGAAGCACCUUAUUCUGAUUUCUUCGGAAUGAAAAAUUUGGUGACUGAGUGGCGGACGGGUGAGUAACGCGUGGGUAACCUGCCUCAUACAGGGGGAUAACAGUUAGAAAUGACUGCUAAUACCGCAUAAGCGCACGCUACCGCAUGGUAGCGUGUGAAAAACUCCGGUGGUGUGAGAUGGAUCCGCGUCUGAUUAGCCAGUUGGCGGGGUAACGGCCCACCAAAGCGACGAUCAGUAGCCGACCUGAGAGGGUGACCGGCCACAUUGGGACUGAGACACGGCCCAA